Molecule: ribosomal RNA, 497 nt
Filed under: uncultured bacterium
Lineage: Bacteria
Description: partial 16S ribosomal RNA
Rfam family: Bacterial small subunit ribosomal RNA
Source: RNAcentral
GAUGAACGCUGGCGGCGUGCCUAAUACAUGCAAGUCGAGCGAACAGACGAGGAGCUUGCUCCUCUGACGUUAGCGGCGGACGGGUGAGUAACACGUGGAUAACCUACCUAUAAGACUGGGAUAACUUCGGGAAACCGGAGCUAAUACCGGAUAACAUGUUGAACCGCAUGGUUCAACAGUGAAAGACGGUCUUGCUGUCACUUAUAGAUGGAUCCGCGCCGCAUUAGCUAGUUGGUAAGGUAACGGCUUACCAAGGCAACGAUGCGUAGCCGACCUGAGAGGGUGAUCGGCCACACUGGAACUGAGACACGGUCCAGACUCCUACGGGAGGCAGCAGUAGGGAAUCUUCCGCAAUGGGCGAAAGCCUGACGGAGCAACGCCGCGUGAGUGAUGAAGGUCUUCGGAUCGUAAAACUCUGUUAUUAGGGAAGAACAAAUGUGUAAGUAACUAUGCACGUCUUGACGGUACCUAAUCAGAGAGCCACGGCUAACUACGUG